AUAAAUUUUUUUAAUUCUUAGAAUGGAUAUUAUUUUAAGAAAUUUUAUUUUUUAAAAAAUAUAGAUUUGAUUUUAGUAAUUUUUGUUUUUAAUUUUGGAUUUUGAUUUUGUAUAAGUUAGAAAAUAUAUUAUUGAUAGGAUAAGUACUGAAAAGGAAAUAAAUUAAAUUUAAAUUAUAAUUCUGGUUUUACCUUUUGUAUUAGGGUAUUUUAAAAUUUUGUUAAAUAUUAAUUUCUCGAAUAAUUUUGGGCUAAUUUUUUAGAAUUGUUUUUGUAGAAUAAAAUUUUUUUAUAGGAAAUUAGUUAUGAUAUAUAUUUCAAGAAAUUUUAUAUCUAGUUUUUUUAGAAAUAAAAAUUUAUUUAAUAUAUUAUUUAGAUAUUAAUAGGGGUUAGCUUAUUAAUUAAAUAUAAAUUAUUUGAUGGAUUUUCUUAAGUGAAUUUAAAAUUGUUUAUUUUUAUGAUUUUAUAAUAGAAAGAAAUUUAUAUUAAGGAUUUAGGUUAAAUUUAUUUUUUUAAAAAAUUAUAUUAAGAAAUUUUAAAUUUUUAUAAAUAAUGAAAUAAUUAGUAUAAUUUAUUUUUUUUCAAUAUUUAUUUGUGAAUUUAUAUUUGUGAUAAAAAUUAUGGGAAAUGAAUUAAGCAAAAAAAUUUUUUUGACUGUUUAGCAAAAACAUUGUUUCAUGAAUAUAAUUAUGAAAUAAUGUCUGUCCACUGAGUUUUAAAGGACUGCAGUAUUUUGACUGUAUAAAAGUAGCAUAAUCAUUAGCUUUUUAAUUUGAAGUUAGUAUGAAGGCGAAACUGAGAGAUACUUUAUUUUUUAUAAAUUUUGAAUUUGAUAAUUAAGUGAAAAAUCUUAAUUGAGGAAAAGGGACAAGAAGACCCUAAUAAGCUUUAUUUUUUUAUUUUUUAAAUCAUAGGAAAAAUUUGUAAUUAGAUAAUAAAAGUAAAAUAAUUUAUUUGGGGCGAUUUGUUUUUUAAACAUAAUAAUUUUUUAAUUUUUUUGGCGAAUAAUUUUAGAUCUAUAUAUUUUAAUUAAAAGUGAAGUUACUAUAGGGAUAACAGCGUGAUUUUUAAGAAAAGUUCUUAUUAAAAUAAAAGUUUGCGACCUCGAUGUUGGAUUAAGUUAUAGUAUUAGUGAAGGAGUUAAAUAUUUUGAUCUGUUCGAUCUUUAAAAACUUACAUGAUCUGAGUUCAAACCGGCGUGAGCCAGGUUGGUUUCUAUCUUUUUAAUUAUAAAAUUUUUAUAUUAGUACGAAAGGACCAUAUUAAAUUAUUUUAUUAGUAUAAUUUUUUUGAAAAAAAUUAA
This 1302-nucleotide ribosomal RNA is filed under the name Epanerchodus koreanus. RNAcentral's name for it is "16S ribosomal RNA". The stretch from base 1051 to 1209 matches the Rfam family "Archaeal large subunit ribosomal RNA", at positions 2544 to 2703 of the family's 2987-position model. Lineage: Eukaryota; Metazoa; Arthropoda; Diplopoda; Polydesmida; Polydesmidae. The record is from RNAcentral.